AGCAAACGCUGGCGGCGUGCCUAAUACAUGCAAGUCGAACGAGGAAAGCUUUCGGGUGAGUACUAGUGGCGCACGGGUGAGUAACGCGUGGGUAAUCUACCAUCGAGUGGGGAAUAACUAAUCGAAAGAUUAGCUAAUACCGCAUAAGACCACAGAAGCUACGGCUUCAGAGGUCAAAGGAGCAAUUCGCUUGAUGAUGAGCCCGCGUCGGAUUAGCUAGUUGGUAGGGUAAUGGCCUACCAAGGCAGUGAUCCGUAGCUGGUCUGAGAGGAUGAUCAGCCACACUGGAACUGAGACACGGUCCAGACUCCUACGGGAGGCAGCAGUAGGGAAUAUUGCGCAAUGGGGGAAACCCUGACGCAGCGACGCCGCGUGAGUGAUGAAGGCCUCGGUCGUAAGACUCUGUUGUCGAAGGGAAGUAAGAAAGUAGAAUAGUA
Molecule: ribosomal RNA, 437 nt
Filed under: uncultured bacterium
Lineage: Bacteria
Description: bacterial SSU rRNA
Rfam family: Bacterial small subunit ribosomal RNA
Source: RNAcentral